This 800-nucleotide ribosomal RNA is filed under the name uncultured bacterium. RNAcentral describes it as "bacterial SSU rRNA". It matches the Rfam family "Bacterial small subunit ribosomal RNA", at positions 8 to 815 of the family's 1533-position model. The record is from RNAcentral.
AGAGUUUGAUCAUGGCUCAGGAUAAACGCUGGCGGCGCACAUAAGACAUGCAAGUCGAACGAACUUAACUCAUUCUUUUAGUUUGAGAGCGGUUAGUGGCGGACUGGUGAGUAACACGUAAGCAACCUGCCUAUUAGAGGGGAAUAACAGUGAGAAAUCAUUGCUAAUACCGCAUAUGCUAACAGUAUCGCAUGAUACAGUUAGGAAAGGAGUAAUCCGCUAAUAGAUGGGCUUGCGCCUGAUUAGCUAGUUGGUGGGGCAAUGGCCUACCAAGGCGACGAUCAGUAGCCGGACUGAGAGGUUGAACGGCCACAUUGGGACUGAGAUACGGCCCAGACUCCUACGGGAGGCAGCAGUCGGGAAUAUUGCGCAAUGGAGGAAACUCUGACGCAGUGACGCCGCGUAUAGGAAGAAGGUUUUCGGAUUGUAAACUAUUGUCGUUAGGGAAGAUACAAGACAGUACCUAAGGUGGAAGCCCCGGCUAACUAUGUGCCAGCAGCCGCGGUAAUACAUAGGGGGCAAGCGUUAUCCGGAAUUAUUGGGUGUAAAGGGUGCGUAGACGGAGGAGCAAGUUGGUUGUGAAAUCCCUCGGCUUAACUGAGGAACUGCAACCAAAACUACUUCCCUUGAGUGUCGGAGAGGAAAGUGGAAUUCCUAGUGUAGCGGUGAAAUGCGUAGAUAUUAGGAGGAACACCAGUGGCGAAGGCGACUUUCUGGACGAUAACUGACGUUGAGGCACGAAAGUGUGGGGAGCAAACAGGAUUAGAUACCCUGGUAGUCCACACCGUAAACGAUGGAUA